ACAGAGCCAAAAAGCAAGAAACCAACAGUUAGACUAAACAAUUUCCCUUUGUUCCAGAACCCUUCACAUCCUUAUGUAACUUGGCUCUAUAUCAUGCAGCCUGAACAGUGCUGGGAUUCAAAUAUGUGAACAACUGGUUUUCUGUGUGGAUGCCACUUCCGGAAGUCCAUUCUGGGCCUGGGCAACAAAAAAUUAGCUACAGUUUCUGCCAAAGUGAUUUCUAUCGCUGUGAGAAAGCUAUGAAUGCCAAAGGCUCUGAUCCCUAUGUCUGUCAGUGUUUUAAAAAAGUAUACUCAUCCCUGUGCCCUUCUUUUUGGGUUGACAACUGGGAUGAACUUCAGGGAAAUGGCUGUUUUCCAGGCAAAAUAUGAUGGUCUUUUGUCUGCCAGUAGCUCCCCCUACUCAGGAUGUUGCACUGCUGAGUCCUUUCUAUGUGUGCAUCUGAAGGAUUGUCUGAAAUGGCUCUUGUCUGCUUGAGCAUCUGAAUCAUGUAAUAGUACAAAAUCUUGGAUAUUACCCAUUCUAAUAAAAUGCAUAGUACCCAUGCCUGUGUUUAUCCUGCUAACUCAGUUAAUGAUUUACGAAUAUCUUCUACCACAUGCUUUAUCUAUGGUAAUGUUCUCAAAGAAUGGGACAGAUGUCAUUACUGUGGUAUAUGUGGUGCUUUCUCACUGGACCCCUUUUAACAAAAUAAAAGCCUUUUCAUUCUUUGCGUUAAAUAGCUUAUAUUUACAUGGGAAACUUUGUAGCUGACUGUAUGGGUGAUAACAGAAAUUAUUGAGAGCUUCCGGUGGUCAGCGACGAUGAUGGCGGCUACCUUGUAGCCGUCCUCCUGGGACGGCGUCAGAUCUGCGGAGCACAGCGCGCAUCAGCUGGCCCGCGGCUCGAAAUCC
This is a long non-coding RNA of Crotalus tigris (Tiger rattlesnake), 893 nucleotides long. RefSeq lists it as uncharacterized. The transcript is spliced from 3 exons. The record is from RefSeq and is a predicted model, not a curated record. NCBI's taxonomy places the organism in Eukaryota, Metazoa, Chordata, Lepidosauria, Squamata, Viperidae.